UUCAGUUUCUCAUUUUGACUGGAUAUGGUAAUUUUAAAUUUUGAGGUAAUCAGUUGAAUUUUCAGUGGCAAGAAGUAAGUAAACCGUUUCAAUACCAAGUAACAUUCUAAAAACACAAACCAAGUUGUCCUUUCCCUUUAUAUCUCUUCAUAUGAUACAUUCUUACCUUUCUACUCAUUCUUUUUAGCCCCUUGUUUUUACUGACUGCCCCUUUCCCUUCCCUCACUAAAUGCAAUAACAACUAUGUGCUGCUGUAGGUACACUGUAGGUGCAUGAUCCCUCGGCUGCUCAGAACCGCUUUAGCAAUGCCCGCCCCCCUCCCCUCCUCUUCCUUUCAUCCAUCCAUCGGACGAUACCAUGCAAUCCAUUCCUUGCUUCAUCCGCACAUCAUCCUGUCGAUGCCUGUAUAUCAAUUGCUUGAGCUUCUCAUUAGAAAGUGACAACCAGGUUAUCCCAAGGGAGCUCCGCCCAAUCUUCCACCCAUCGAGACAUCUGGAAAUGCCAGAGGGUACUACUACGGGGGUCAGAGUCAGCCACGCCCGUCCUCUGGGUUCUAUGAAGACGUGCCCCUUAGGGUGGACCUGAGCUCUCCUCCACCCAGGAGCAGCGGUGGAGGAGCUAUCAACAUGUAUGAGUAUAACCCACAACACAACAAGCCAUACUAGAUGGAGGUGAUACAGCACUAU
This is a long non-coding RNA of Lytechinus variegatus (green sea urchin), 686 nucleotides long. RefSeq lists it as uncharacterized. The transcript has 2 exons. Lineage: Eukaryota; Metazoa; Echinodermata; Echinoidea; Temnopleuroida; Toxopneustidae. The record is from RefSeq and is a predicted model, not a curated record.